This 303-nucleotide ribosomal RNA is filed under the name uncultured bacterium. Its description in RNAcentral is "partial 16S ribosomal RNA". It matches the Rfam family "Bacterial small subunit ribosomal RNA", at positions 507 to 807 of the family's 1533-position model. The record is from RNAcentral.
AGCAGUCGCCGCGGUAAUACGGAGGGUGCAAGCGUUAAUCGGAAUUACUGGGCGUAAAGCGCACGCAGGCGGUCUGACAAGUCAGAUGUGAAAUCCCCGGGCUUAACCUGGGAACUGCAUUUGAAACUGUCAGGCUGGAGUCUUGUAGAGGGGGGUGGAAUUCCAGGUGUAGCGGUGAAAUGCGUAGAGAUCUGGAGGAAUACCGGUGGCGAAGGCGGCCCCCUGGACAAAGACUGACGCUCAGGUGCGAAAGCGUGGGGAGCAAACAGGAUUAGAUACCCGUGUAGUCCCUGUCUCUUAUAC